UCUCCGUUGGUGAACCAGCGGAGGGAUCAUUACUGGAAUCGCAAGAUCCCACAACCCCUGUGAACCUACCGAAACGUUGCCUCGGCGGGCGCCCGGCCCCGCGCCGGGUGCUGAGCCCGCCGGCGGCCCCCUACUCUUGUCUCUGCAGCGUGGCAUCUCAGAGUCCCAGAAAACAAGUAAACACUUUCAACAACGGAUCUCUUGGCUCUA
RNAcentral lists this unclassified non-coding RNA (210 nucleotides) under plant metagenome. RNAcentral describes it as "partial contains small subunit ribosomal RNA, internal transcribed spacer 1, and 5.8S ribosomal RNA". The record is from RNAcentral.